CCUACGGGCGGCAGCAGUGAGGAAUAUUGGUCAAUGGACGAGAGUCUGAACCAGCCAAGUAGCGUGAAGGAUGACUGCCCUAUGGGUUGUAAACUUCUUUUAUAAAGGAAUAAAACGAGGCACGUGUGCCUUUUUGCAUGUACUUUAUGAAUAAGGAUCGGCUAACUCCGUGCCAGCAGCCGCGGUAAUACGGAGGAUCCGAGCGUUAUCCGGAUGUAUUGGGUUUAAAGGGAGCGUAGAUGGGUUGUUAAGUCAGUUGUGAAAGUUUGCGGCUCAACCGUAAAAUUGCAAUUGAUACUGGCAGUCUUGAGUACAGUUGAGGUAGGCGGAAUUCGUGGUGUAGCGGUGAAAUGCUUAGAUAUCACGAAGAACCCCGAUUGCGAAGGCAGCUUACUAAACUGUAACUGACGUUGAGGCUCGAAAGCGUGGGGAGCAAACAGGAUUAGAUACCCCGGUAGUC
RNAcentral lists this ribosomal RNA (460 nucleotides) under uncultured bacterium. RNAcentral's name for it is "partial 16S ribosomal RNA". It matches the Rfam family "Bacterial small subunit ribosomal RNA", at positions 338 to 795 of the family's 1533-position model. The record is from RNAcentral.